RNAcentral lists this ribosomal RNA (53 nucleotides) under Aegilops tauschii x Triticum urartu. Lineage: Eukaryota; Viridiplantae; Streptophyta; Magnoliopsida; Poales; Poaceae. The record is from RNAcentral.
GAGAGUAGUACUAGGAUGGGUGACCUCCUGGGAAGUCCUCGUGUUGCAUUCCC